This is a long non-coding RNA of Populus euphratica (Euphrates poplar), 159 nucleotides long. RefSeq lists it as uncharacterized. The transcript is spliced from 4 exons. The record is from RefSeq and is a predicted model, not a curated record. NCBI's taxonomy places the organism in Eukaryota, Viridiplantae, Streptophyta, Magnoliopsida, Malpighiales, Salicaceae.
AGAAUGUAGAAACUAUAGGGACUCACAACAUACCCAAAUUUCACAUUGAUCCAACGGUAGACGAGGGAGACAUUGUCCGGCGAAGCUGAUAGGUUUGAGGGGGUGAGGGAGGCGGCGGCUUUUUGAGAAAAAAUUAAGUUUUAUUUGUGUUUUAGGAUU